UGACUUUGAGGACAGUCAGAUACUCAAGACCCUGAAAGUAAUGAAAGGGAGGGGUGGGGGGGGGCCCACAACAGAACAGUUCUGUUAUGCUAUGAGGAUUUUUUUCUAAGCUAACGUGGAAUCAUAAAUAGUACCUAGAAAAAUAAAAGGGUGCAGUGUGUGGACACUUUGAACAUAUCCAUAGUAAAUUCCAAAUCAAUAAUAAUGUGUUGGUGUCACAUUAAGGAAAGAAAGCAUUUCCCCUUGGUGUCAUUUAACUAAGAGUGAGCUCAGAUUUGAUUUCCUAUUUCAUGUUCCCUGUGUUUUCUGUCCUCAUCCUCUGUGUCUGUUACAUGAGUCUGAAUCUGUGCCUGCCUGACGUCUGUCUUGUAAAUCUAUCCCUGUGUGUUCAUCUGUCACAAAGGGCUUUGUUCUUUAUUGAGCAGCCCAGAAAGCAUACCAUGGAGAAGGAAUGAGGGGUAACAGAAAUCUUUAACAGUUUUACAAGGGAUUAAGUCAUAGAUUCCAAUUAACCCCAACUGACCCAGAAAACAGUAUUUCAAACACUACUAUCAGCAAUAUUCAAAUGUUGUGUGCAACAUUCAUGGUGGAUAUUCAUUUUAGAAGAUAGACUGCUUUCAACUUCUGUUUUCAGCAAAUGAUACCCAUUCAUUAAUGUUGGUCAGAGACAAGGUACAUGACUUAAGAUUACAGCUAGGCAUAGGGAAAUCCAAGGGCAGGUAAGGGUGAUAACACUAUUUUCUUAAAAGCUGAACAUACAGUAGGAUAGCAUCUUAAGCCAUAAGUGACCUCGGGGUAUACUAACCCUGGCUGUAAGGUCCAUCAAAAGUUCCAAUCCAGUCGCUUGGAAUGAAAAAAAAUUUUUUUUAAAUAUUGCAUCAUCGUAAGAGAAGAGCAAGGACUAAUAAAUAUUAUUCAAUUAAAACAAUGUCUACUGGUACAUAAUAGAAAAUGGACUGAUGAAAUGGAAACAGAACCUAGAUAAAGGGUUAAGUCCAUAAAAGGUGUCAGAGAUCUGUCUUAUCUACAUGAUUCCCCAAACUAGUCAUAGACAAGUUGACUAGAGAUUCAGGAUCAAGCAGGUUAGUAUUUUGUACUAGGGUCCAAAGGAUCAGAAAUCAGAAAUGAAAAAGCAAAGCCAUCAGUUCUUCAGAGAAAACAAUGCCAGUGGAUUACUGUAUGGGUCUGAAGUGAAGAAGACAAUCUGAGUUGAUACAGAAACUACCAAACUGACAAUCAGAGCAUAUGACAGCAUGGUAAAACCAUUAGAACAAAGCCAAGUAAUAAACUGGAAGAAUACGCAGCUCAUCGCACUUGAAGAAUUAAUAUCUCUAACAGGUGAAUUCAGUGCACAAAGGACCUAAGCAACUUCAAGGGACUCCUUAAUAUAUUAAGAGUUGGUGAUUUUAUACAUUGAGGUUUAAAAAUGAACAUUCUAAAUCUACAUACUAUCAGAAUGCCCGACUCUAGCAUUGGAAUCUAUCUCUGGUAGUGGGGCUGUGGGUGAGCAAGUGCAGAUGUGUGUGAGCUGAGCUAGUCCCGUGGAGAGCAACGUCCAAGUCAGUACCUCUCAAGUCUACAAGUGUGUGUGGUCUCUCACCUUUGAAUACUUAGAAAUGUACAUAUACAUGUGUGACAUGAUAUGUGGACAUGGUCUAGGAACAACUCAAAUGCUCAAGAAUGGUUCCACUCAACUAAACACUGGCAUAGCCAUAGUGAGGAUACCAAGGAACCAGUAAAGGGAAAAAGCUAUCUGGUGAUACAUUGCCAGUGAAAUAAUUAGGUGAUAAAAUGCAGAUGGUGUGUAUGUGGUAUUACUCCAAGAAAAAAUAAGAGCGAAUACAGAAAUAAGGUUUUACAUUUAUAUUUGUUGGCAUAUAUAUGGGUUAUGGAUGGAAAUACAAAAGGCCAGGGGCAGAAGGUAUAUGUGUGCACUAUGGGAAGCUGGGAAGACAUUGUAUUUUUAGUAUAUAUUGUGUUUUUUAACCAUGUGAAUGUACCACCUAUUUGGAAAGUUAAAUAAAACAAGCAUUUUGUAAGUCUAUGACUCAAUAGG
This 2056-nucleotide long non-coding RNA is filed under the name Rattus norvegicus (Norway rat). Its description in RNAcentral is "long non-coding RNA NONRATT012682". Lineage: Eukaryota; Metazoa; Chordata; Mammalia; Rodentia; Muridae. The record is from RNAcentral.